AUUGAACGCUGGCGGCAUGCCUUACACAUGCAAGUCGAACGGCAGCGGACCUUCGGGUGCCGGCGAGUGGCGAACGGGUGAGUAAUGUAUCGGAACGUGCCCAGUAGUGGGGGAUAACUACUCGAAAGAGUGGCUAAUACCGCAUGAGAUCUCUGGAUGAAAGCGGGGGGACCGUAAGGCCUCGCGCUACUGGAGCGGCCGAUAUCAGAUUAGGUUGUUGGUGAGGUAAAGGCUCACCAAGCCGACGAUCCGUAGCUGGUCUGAGAGGAUGAUCAGCCACACUGGGACUGAGACACGGCCCAGACUCCUACGGGAGGCAGCAGUGGGGAAUUUUGGACAAUGGGCGCAAGCCUGAUCCAGCCAUGCCGCGUGCGGGAAGAAGGCCUCGG
RNAcentral lists this ribosomal RNA (389 nucleotides) under uncultured bacterium. RNAcentral's name for it is "bacterial SSU rRNA". It matches the Rfam family "Bacterial small subunit ribosomal RNA", at positions 29 to 420 of the family's 1533-position model. The record is from RNAcentral.